AUGUUUGUAUUUUGCCAAAGCCUGAACUUUCUGCGGAGACAGUUCAGGGAGGUGGAACAGAAAAAAGCCUCAACCCCCCUGCCUGGAAUUCAGCACAGGAAUCGAGCUUGGCCUCAAAUUCCCACCAAGAGCUGGAAAACACAGGUCAGGUCACUGCCAGCACGAUGCCAAUGGCUAAUAUUCUCCAGCCAUACCUCUGCUUCGCAGGACUUUCCCCAAUUUUUUGACUUCUGGCAUUUUUUGUUUCUCCCCUGGAUUUUCUGGAUGACAACGGGAGCCACCAGCAGCAAGCUCAUAACAAGGACUGGGAAUUUAGAGAAAGCGAUGGACAACUGGCACCUGCAAAGAAGAGGCACUGAGGGAAACUGAGGAGCCCAGCCAGGCAUGCACCGAGCCUUGUGGCUGGGGCACACAGCAGCCUUGUGCUGAAGGCGUCCCACCACAUUUACAUUUUAUUUACAUUAUGCUGUAAAGUAAAAAAAAAAUGUUUGUACACGGUUAUUAUUCCCUUUACACAGUGUCUGCCAGGAGACUAUAAAUCCAACAUUUAUCUGGGAAAAUUGCUGUAAAUGGAAAUUAACAAAAUCCUCGAUCUUCAUAAUCAGGGCAACUUCAUGCCCAGGAAUCCCAGGUGGCUUUUUAAGAGGAAAGGGUGAAUCUUUAUGUUUGCAGAGAGCAAGCAGUAGGAGUAUCACUGCUCUAAAAACAUUUAAGCUGCAGACAAGCAUUUCUUCAGAUACUUUAGGCUCAGAUUUACCAUAAAUUUCAAGGUCACCAAGUCUUAUUAUUCCUUCUGUGCCCUAUUAUGUCUGCUAAGCUGGCACCUGUAAAAGUGCAGAAGCAUCAGCACCAAGGCCAAGGGACUCAGCAGCUCUCUUCCAGGGUCCAAAUUGCUGUAAAACUGCGUGCACCAAGCUAACACAGGCUCUGGCAUUUUUAUAGACUGAGGUAGACAGAAGAACAUCUGAAAAUCAAAACCAAAAUAAAAUCUUUGACCUUUCUGCA
RNAcentral lists this long non-coding RNA (1005 nucleotides) under Anas platyrhynchos platyrhynchos (common mallard). Its description in RNAcentral is "lncRNA (ENSAPLG00000018127.1)". Lineage: Eukaryota; Metazoa; Chordata; Aves; Anseriformes; Anatidae. The record is from RNAcentral.